Pyrus x bretschneideri (Chinese white pear) is the source of this 2598-nucleotide long non-coding RNA. RefSeq lists it as uncharacterized. NCBI's taxonomy places the organism in Eukaryota, Viridiplantae, Streptophyta, Magnoliopsida, Rosales, Rosaceae. The record is from RefSeq and is a predicted model, not a curated record. The transcript is spliced from 5 exons.
UUAUAUUGAUGACAAUUGCAGAUAAAAUAUCUUUGGUCUAAAAGAAUUUGAAUCCAAGCGAUUAAUUCUCUGCCUAUGACGAGAAAAAGUUGAUUUGGCUUGCUCAGUAUUACCCAAGUGACUUUUCUGCGCUUGACUUGUUGAUACUUGAAGAUCAGCUUAAGUUGUACAUUAUGGACUUGCGCUCUAGCAUUGAGUUUUCAGGAUUGAAUGGGAUUGCGGAUCUUGCACAGAAAAUGGUUGAGAAAAAAGUGUUUACCCAUUAGUUUACUUGCUGUUGACAUUGGCACUUAUCAUACCAGUUGCAACUCCUACUGUAGAGAGGGCGUUUUGUGCUACGAGGAUUGUGAAGAACCGGUUACUCAAUCAAAUGGAAGAUCAAAGGACGGAUGAUAGUUGGAUUGCAUAUAUUGAGAAAGACAUUAUUGAUAGUAUCGAAAAUGAGAUCGUUAUGCAACGAUUUCAAAAUAUGAAAACUCGUCCAUGGCAAAUCUCAUUGUAAUGAAUAGAUAUUUUUUCAAUCAACGCUGAUGUUUUUGUCUUGUUAUGAGCUUCAACUGUUUUCAUUUUUCUUAUUUUAUCUGAAAUAUUAUCAGUAUAGACCUAUGGCUCUGCAUCCCUUGAAUUUGAACAGGUUGAAGCAUGACUGCUUGCUCAAGAAGCAAUGACUGCAGAACAUUGGAAUUACAGGUUAGUUGGGUGCGGCGCUGCAAAGGCAGCCGCGGUGGAAGUGGUGCCAUGGCCUGGUGGCCUUGUCACGACUGCUGGGUCACGGCAAUGGUGGUGGUGCGGCUCCGCGGUGGUGGGGUUCCUCUUGCCAUCGCGUUGAGCCUUGAGGAUCGCUGUCGUGGGGCUAUGUCCUCGCCUCCACUCUUCGGUCCAAAUCCUUGUAUGUACGGGUUCUGUUCGUCCUAGUUUCUGAAUUUCCUACCAUUGUUACUACUAGAAUUAUGCUCAUUGCACACUAUUUUUUGUACACCCUUUGUAAUUGGUGGCCAUAGAUAUAAAGUUGCUACUCUUACUAUUUUUUGGUGGCCUUAUAGCGGGAUGCCACUGGACUUAAGUAAUCAGCCUCCAAUGAUUGAUGUCUGUUAACUAACUUUAUUUCUUAAAAUUACACCAAAGACUUUUUACAUGUUUUUUCAACUUUGGAACCUGUUUUUUAAUUUCUUUAUCAGUCUUCUCCUUUUUAUCUGUAAAAAAAUAAUUGUUUUUUCAUUUAAUAAUUCUAUUUCACCGUAGUUCCACUCUCAAAUAAAUACAAAGUUAGACACCCCAAAUUAUCUAUUUUGCCCCUCUUUCAUUUUUAUUUGCAGAUGUUGCUCUCGUUUGAAAGGUGCUUUUUGGUUGAGCUUUGGCCACGUUGCGUUUUGUAGGAAAGAUAUUGGAAGCAUCUUUCACUUUUUCUUUUGAGUAAAUUAUACUUUUUUACUUUAGAUUUUUGAGGAUGAGGAGUGGGGACGAACUGGGUUUGACUUUAUUUUUUUAAGAAAAUUCAGGUUUUUUAAAAAGAAAUUAAGAAGUUAUUUUUUUUGUCACGUGCAGAUAUUUGGCAACCACGUGACAUAUAUGUUGAAGUUACAUCAGCACUUAACGGAUCAAUAGAUGAAAAAUAUAACAGAAGUAUUAUUUUGAAAUAAAAUAGUAUUUAAGGUAUGAAAGUGAAAUAUUUUGAAGAUAUUGUAAGGAAUUAAAAUAGAUCUCAAACCUAAGGUGUGAAAGUCUAAUUUACCCUUUUCUUUUCCUCAGCAUCUUCCACCUUUACUUCCACUUCCAACAUCUUUCACUUUUUCUUUUCCUUUUCUUUUCUUCUCUCCGUUUUUAUGUCUCUCUUUGCGUUUCUCUGAGUGUGUCUCGCUGUUUUCAUCGCGAUCUGAUCGUUUAGAAGGGUGGUUGGCCUGUUUUUCCCGCUGUUUUCCGCGGAGGAAUCGCAACGGUUUGGGUGCGUUGGUUGCUGUGUGCCAUUAUUUUGUGCUUGGCUGGAAACGUUUAUCUUCCAACUUUAGGGUUUUGUUGUGGGAGUUUGCAAACCCUUUUUGGGCCAGGUAUAUAAUUUAUCUUUGCACUUUGUUUUUUUGGGCUAAUUUUUUUAUUUGGGUCUUUUGGUGGUUUGUGCUUUGAUUUUUGUCUGAAUGUUUAAAAAGUCAGAGAGAGAUAGCGAUGGUUAGUUUUGGGUUUCCUUUGCCACCAGAAGCAUUUGGCUCGACGAUAAGGUCGUCAAGGUCCAGAUUUGGGACACCACCGGCCAGGAAAGGUUGAUCAUGUUGUUUCAUUUUGUGAAACAGUGUAGCCUUUGUCAAUCAAAUGCUUUGCUGAAACAUCCAAUAAGAAGAAUAAAAUAACCAUGAUUGCAGAACCAUUGGAGAGAGGACUUGCUAAGGACAUUGAGAAUGUAUAUAAGCUACAGUGUUCGUUUCUGCAAUGCAGGCUGCAACUGAUGAUUAGAUUCAAGUUAUUGAGAUGAUUAAGCUCUUGGAAACAAAGGGUUCGAAGACUUUUUAAAGUUUGGUUCCAACAUUUGUACAAAAUUCUAUAAAAUAUCAGUUAUGCAAUUUAUAGUUGUAUUCUUAUAUUUUAAUGAUAUAACAAUUUGUUUUC